This is a non-coding RNA of Salmo salar (Atlantic salmon), 58 nucleotides long. The record is from Rfam. NCBI's taxonomy places the organism in Eukaryota, Metazoa, Chordata, Actinopteri, Salmoniformes, Salmonidae.
UGGCUCAGUUGGUAGAGCAUAGUGCUUGCAACGCCAGGGUUGUGGGUUCAAUUCCCAU